Molecule: small nuclear RNA, 107 nt
Organism: Vombatus ursinus (common wombat)
Lineage: Eukaryota; Metazoa; Chordata; Mammalia; Diprotodontia; Vombatidae
Source: Ensembl
AUGUUCACUUCUGCAGCAUGUAUACUAAAACUAGAACAAUACAGAGAAGAUUAGCAUGGCCCCUAUGCAAGGAUGACAUGCAAAUUCAUGAAACAUUCCAUAUCUUU